RNAcentral lists this ribosomal RNA (1229 nucleotides) under Ammonia beccarii. RNAcentral describes it as "partial large subunit ribosomal RNA". It matches the Rfam family "Eukaryotic large subunit ribosomal RNA", at positions 1 to 982 of the family's 3401-position model. Lineage: Eukaryota; Foraminifera; Rotaliida; Rotaliidae. The record is from RNAcentral.
CACAUCAGCUCGAGUGAGAAUACGCGCUAAACUUAAGCAUAUCAGUCAGCGCACGUAAUAACAGAAACUAACCAGGAUUCCCUUAGUAACGGCGAGUGGACUGGGAUACCAAUAACACAUAUACGCGUCGUUCGCGACGUGUAUCUUUAGCCCGUCGAUACUAUCCUAGCGUAUGACUCUCUGUCUCGGCAGAGUGUCGCCUAAUACGCGGGAAUUGUAGCAUCGUAAUAUAAAAUAUACGUAUAUACGCGCCACACACACAUAUACCAACUCAGUGCCGGCCUUGCAAACACACAGCGCUCUCGCGUUGGAAAGCAAGUUAUAUCUUCGGAUAUGCCAUAGAGUGUGACAGCCACGUUUGGAACACCUCGGCAACUGAUACACGCGCAUAAUACAUACCGUAUAUAACCUGAGUCGAGUUAUUUGGGACUAUAGCUCUAAUAGUUUGGUUGGUGGUAAUGACACAUCAAAGGCUAAAUGUUGGUUAGUACGCGAUGCAUAUUUAUACGGAGACCGAUAGCAUACAAGUACCGUAAGGAACGAUGAAAAGCACCCUAUUAAGUUCACGGCGUCCGACUGCGUAUAACUCGUUAUACAACGUCGCGCCCAACAACUACAGUGGGAGUGAAAGAGAGAGUGAAAUCGCCUAUACAUAAAUACAUAUAAGUACACGCAUGUCACACUUAUACAAAGUCUGCGUUAGUACAAUCGGACAGAGUGUCGUACCCUUUAUACCAGCCGCCUAAUAUGCGUAUAUCACAUAUUAUGGCUCGGCUCAUAGUGCACCUCGGCCACUAUACGCGACACAACUGUACGACCCGUUUUGAAACACGGACCAAGGAGUUCAACUGGAUUACGAGUCGUCGAGUGUUGUCAUAUAUAUACUCACACGGCAUAGCGAAAGCAACUUAUAAUCCUAUGUGCGAGGUCGGGUGACACCGUCCGCAGCACGCGCUGAGUAAGUAUAUGCGUAGAGGCCUUAUGAGUCGAUGCGUGUACCUCUGUAUUUUAUAUAGAGGAUUACUCAAGCGUUCAACGAGUAUAUCUUGUUGAGACCCGAAAGAUGGUGAACUAUGCUCGGAUAUGGCGAAGUCAGGUGAAAACUUGAUGGAAGCUUGCGUUGUGCGGAACUGACGUGCAACUCGUUACCGCCUAACCUGAGUAUAGGGGCGAAAGACUCAUCGAACCAUCUAGUAGCUGGUUCCCUCCGAAGUUUCCCUCAGGAUAGC